GUGCUCGCUUCGGCAGCACAUAUACUAACAUUGGAAAGAUACAGAGAAGAUUAGCAUGGCCCCUGCUCAAGGAUAACACUCAAAUUCGUGAAGUGUUCCAUAUUUUU
Molecule: small nuclear RNA, 107 nt
Filed under: Marmota monax (woodchuck)
Lineage: Eukaryota; Metazoa; Chordata; Mammalia; Rodentia; Sciuridae
Source: RNAcentral